GACGAACCGGACAAACGUUAUUCGGAAUUACUGGGCUUAAAGGGUUUGUAGGCGGCCUUGUAAGUCAGGUGUGAAAUCCCUCGGCUCAACCGAGGAAUGGCGCUUGAUACUGCAAGGCUUGAGGGAGACAGGGGUAAGCGGAACUGAUGGUUGAGCGGUGAAAUGCGUUGAUAUCAUCAGGAACACCGGUGGCGAAAGCGGCUUACUGGGUCUCUUCUGACGCUGAGGAGCGAAAGCGUGGGUAGCGAACAGG
Molecule: ribosomal RNA, 253 nt
Filed under: uncultured bacterium
Lineage: Bacteria
Description: partial 16S ribosomal RNA
Rfam family: Bacterial small subunit ribosomal RNA
Source: RNAcentral